This is a long non-coding RNA of Alosa alosa (allis shad), 1057 nucleotides long. RefSeq lists it as uncharacterized. The transcript has 2 exons. The record is from RefSeq and is a predicted model, not a curated record. Lineage: Eukaryota; Metazoa; Chordata; Actinopteri; Clupeiformes; Clupeidae.
UGUCAGCUACACAUGCCAUAGAACACCUUGUGCUGUUUCUAAAGACUGGGAAUAGUGUCCAGGGACAUUUAGAUGCCAUUGCCCAGACUCGUCAGCCGUACCUUCUCGCUAUUGGAACGUCUAGAACCAACCUCCAUGGUUUUUUCAUCGUCAUAGACCGGAUCGCCAUCCCACGCCGAGCAACAUCUUCACUCGGGGCCUUUGAUGAGCUAUUCAAAGCCCAUUUUGUCUUUGUUCCUCAGUAACAUGUACACGUUCAUUCAGACCACCGUUUUCAAUAUUGAUGUUGGACUAGUCAAAGAAAAUCCUCGUGUCAUUGAGCUCCGAUCAAGAUUUCUGCAGUAGCCCCGAUAGACUUUUUUUGAAUUAUUUUGUGUAAUUUUGAUUACAUUAACAUGAUUUGUUUCAUUUGCAAGUCCCGUCAUUCCAACACAAAUGUGUUGGUGAGACAUCUAAAAUGAAUGCAUGGACUAUGUCCUGGAAGGACGCUCAGAUUAAAAUGUGGUGAAGCUGGGUGUGCACACGUUUCUGGAACCUUUUCUGGAUUUCGUAAACAUAUGAAAAGGGUGCACGAGCAGAGUGCUCUUAAUGUUGAAGUUUUGGAUAUUAACCAUCGUCAUGGAAGUAAUGACUUGUUAGUAGAUGUUAAUGCAGAAGUUCCUGUUAUGCAACCUAAUCUACUUGUUUCACGCACCAGUUCAUCUCUGUUGAAAAGUGGAGAGUAUGUUCACAAUAUGUGUGCUUCUGUUGUGGCAGAGCUUCAAUCUGUCGGGAUUGGACAAGAAAAUGUACAUAACCUAGUUUGCUCUUUGGAGGAAGUUGUUAACGGGAUACAGGAUCAGAUUAAGGAAACCAUUUUAAGUUGUUUAAGUGAGGAAAAAACUGUUGAGAAAGUUGAGCAAACAUUAGGUCAUCUUGACACUCCAUUUACACAAUUGAAUUCUGUGGAGAAGCGACGCAAGUAUUUUUCUAAGAAAUGGGGUGUAGUCGCUCCUGUAAAGAAAGCGAUAGGUUCCAGGUUUGACAACAGAUGGAAUAAAAACACUGGCACAUUUGA